This 192-nucleotide ribosomal RNA is filed under the name uncultured bacterium. RNAcentral's name for it is "partial 16S ribosomal RNA". It matches the Rfam family "Bacterial small subunit ribosomal RNA", at positions 1295 to 1500 of the family's 1533-position model. The record is from RNAcentral.
GGAUUGUAGGCUGCAACUCGCCUACAUGAAGCUGGAAUUGCUAGUAAUCACAGGUCAGCAUACUGUGGUGAAUACGUUCCCGGGCCUUGUACACACCGCCCGUCACACCAUGAGAGUUGAGAAUACCCGAAGUCCAUGUCAAAGUGGCCGAAGGUAGGCUUGAUGAUUGGGGUGAAGUCGUAACAAGGUACC